RNAcentral lists this ribosomal RNA (525 nucleotides) under uncultured rumen bacterium. RNAcentral's name for it is "bacterial SSU rRNA". It matches the Rfam family "Bacterial small subunit ribosomal RNA", at positions 62 to 601 of the family's 1533-position model. The record is from RNAcentral.
CCGGAAGAGAGGCAGAUUUAAAACAAUGGCUUUAGUGGCGGACUGGUGAGUAACACGUAAGCAACCUGCCUGUUAGAGGGGAAUAACAACGAGAAAUCGUUGCUAAUACCGCAUAUGCCAUAAUAACCACAUGGUUAUAGUGGGAAAGGAGCAAUCCGCUAACAGAUGGGCUUGCGUCUGAUUAGUUAGUUGGUGGGGUAACGGCCUACCAAGACGACGAUCAGUAGCCGGACUGAGAGGUUCAACGGCCACAUUGGGACUGAGAUACGGCCCAGACUCCUACGGGAGGCAGCAGUCGGGAAUAUUGCGCAAUGGAGGAAACUCUGACGCAGUGACGCCGCGUAUAGGAAGAAGGUUUUCGGAUUGUAAACUAUUGUCUGCAGGGAAGAAACAAGACUGUACCUGCAAAGAAAGCUCCGGCUAACUACGUGCCAGCAGCCGCGGUAAUACGUAGGGAGCAAGCGUUAUCCGGAUUUAUUGGGUGUAAAGGGUGCGUAGACGGGAAAUUAAGUUAGUUGUGAAAUC